This 202-nucleotide microRNA precursor is filed under the name Oryza barthii. RNAcentral's name for it is "MIR812 microRNA precursor family". It matches the Rfam family "MIR812 microRNA precursor family". The record is from Rfam by way of RNAcentral. Lineage: Eukaryota; Viridiplantae; Streptophyta; Magnoliopsida; Poales; Poaceae.
AAUACUUGUCGCUUUGAGUUUUUAUUUGUAACGUUUGAUCAUUCGUCUUAUUCAAAAAAUUAUGGAAUUAUUAUUUAUUUUUUAACUUGUUUAUUAUCAAAAGUAUUUAAGUAUGACUUAUCUUUUUUUUAUAUUUACACUAAUUUUUCAAAUAAGACAAAUGGUCAAAAGUUGCAAGCAGAAAGUCAAAGCGACAUCUAUU